GGGGUCGACAGGUAUUGACAGCAUGACUAAUUUUUUUAUUAGCAAGUCGAGUUUUGAAAAUACACUCGUAAAACUAAUUUUCAGCUUUUAAAUGGCGAAAACAACUACGCUCUAGCUGCAUAAUUGACUGAACUAUAGUAAGUCAUUGCGAAUCUCAACUAGGUUGAGAAGCUGGAUGUCUCAUAAAAACUCUGAUUAACAGUUUUUAUAUAAGAGAUACCAUUAAGUUAAUCUAGAGUUUUGCAAUCACUGGGCAUAACUCAAAAAUAAAAGUGAUAAGGAAAAUAUUUUGGUUGUUAUCUACCAAGUGUUUUUUCGAAAAAUUAAAGAUAAAUAAGCUUGUAGAAUGUAAUCUAAUUACUUGUUUGGACGCGGGUUCGAAUCCCGCCGACUCCAC
This 397-nucleotide transfer-messenger RNA is filed under the name Flavobacteriales bacterium. RNAcentral describes it as "transfer-messenger RNA, SsrA". It matches the Rfam family "transfer-messenger RNA". Rfam says of the family: Bacterial tmRNA, also known as 10Sa RNA or SsrA, is named for its dual tRNA and mRNA-like properties. Its role is to liberate the mRNA from a stalled ribosome. To accomplish this part of the tmRNA is used as a reading frame that ends in a translation stop signal. RNAcentral also lists the same sequence under 1 other name. The record is from RNAcentral. Lineage: Bacteria; Pseudomonadati; Bacteroidota; Flavobacteriia; Flavobacteriales.